CACGGUUGUGAUCCAAAACUCUUUUUAAAUAGAGUUUUGGAUCACAACUGUGCU
This 54-nucleotide microRNA precursor is filed under the name Heligmosomoides polygyrus. Its description in RNAcentral is "microRNA hpo-mir-10121 precursor". Lineage: Eukaryota; Metazoa; Nematoda; Chromadorea; Rhabditida; Heligmosomidae. The record is from miRBase by way of RNAcentral.